GAUCCAGACUCCUACGGGAGGCAGCAGUGAGGAAUAUUGGUCAAUGGCCGAGAGGCUGAACCAGCCAAGUCGCGUGAGGGACGACGGUCCUAUGGAUUGUAAACCUCUUUUGUCGGGGAACAAAGGCGUCCACGGGUGGGCGGAUGAGUGUACCCGAAGAAAAAGCAUCGGCUAACUCCGUGCCAGCAGCCGCGGUAAUACGGAGGAUGCGAGCGUUAUCCGGAUUUAUUGGGUUUAAAGGGUGCGUAGGCGGGACGGUAAGUCAGCGGUAAAAAUGCGGAGCUCAACUCCGUCGAGCCGUUGAAACUGCCGUUCUUGAGUGAGCGAGAAGUAUGCGGAAUGCGUGGUGUAGCGGUGAAAUGCUUAGAUAUCGCGCAGAACCCCGAUUGCGAAGGCAGCGUACCGGCUCCACACUGACGCUGAGGCACGAAAGCGUGGGUAUCGAACAGGAUUAGAUACCCCCGUAA
This 467-nucleotide ribosomal RNA is filed under the name uncultured bacterium. RNAcentral's name for it is "bacterial SSU rRNA". It matches the Rfam family "Bacterial small subunit ribosomal RNA", at positions 328 to 793 of the family's 1533-position model. The record is from RNAcentral.